Long non-coding RNA from Cavia porcellus (domestic guinea pig), 1012 nucleotides. RefSeq lists it as uncharacterized. The record is from RefSeq and is a predicted model, not a curated record. Lineage: Eukaryota; Metazoa; Chordata; Mammalia; Rodentia; Caviidae. The transcript is spliced from 3 exons.
CUAAAACCUGUACCUGUUGUUUUUUUUUUUUUUUUUCAUUUUGGGCUCUUUUUGAGGCCGGGUUUAGUUAGGUAUUCCACGGUGGUUUUGAGUUCACUAUGCAGCCAAAACCUGCCUCAAACUCACAGAGAUCCUUCUGCUUCAGCUCUGCAGUGCUGGGACACAAGUUUUGAUAGUUGUUUCCUUUCCCUCUAAGUGACUGAACAUGGAAAAAGCCAACUGUCCCUUCAGUGCAGAACGCACGAAUAAGUGAGCUAGUGAUCAGCACAACAACACAGAUGAAUGGAAGAGGCCACCCAGUGCAUGGGGUCAUUUCCUUGACAUUCCUGCAGAGAGCACCAGAGAAACAGGAGACCAGCUGCUCCAGGGGCUGCUGCUAGGCUGAGGAGGCCCUGAAAGGAGAGCUGGCUUCCUGCUUGCUGCUGGGACCACUUUCAGUGCUUCUUAUUUGAUGCUCCUUUGACAUGUCCCUAUUUGCCUGAAAGCUUGGCCCAGAUCAUAGACCGUGGUACCUCGGCUCAUGAAUGGAAUUCUUUCAGGAUUUAGGCAAAAGAUGACACGCCAAAUGGAAAGAAUUCAGUUCGUCAACCAAGGUGGUGCUGGCCAUGGAACCUAAGCCCUGGCAUAGACUGCUCUUCCACUGAGUUAUAAGCCCAAUGUAAAUCUUGACAUAAAUGUUUGUAAAGAUAAAGAUUCAAUUUGUAGAAUGCAGAAGGCUCAUUUUCUUUUCUUUUUUUUUUUUUUUGUCUUUUUCCUUUUUAUCGGUACCGGGGAUCGAACUCACGACUGCCUGCUUGCAAGGCAAGCACUUGUGCUCCUGAGCUAAGUCCCCAGCCCUCAUUUUCUUUUUUGUCUUUUUCGUUUUUACUGGUACCAGGAGAAGGCUCAUUUUCAUAGCACCUAACUUUUUAUUCUUACAUAGUAUGAUCAAAAUAUAUGAUGAAUAUGCAAAUUUACAAAAUUAUUACAGUAAAACACACUGCCACUAUUCCCAUCACUUCUAACACCCUUU